CAGUCGCCGCGGGAAUACAGAGGAUGCAAGCGUUAUCCGGAAUGAUUGGGCGUAAAGCGUCUGUAGGUGGCUUUUCAAGUCCGCCGUCAAAUCCCAGGGCUCAACCCUGGACAGGCGGUGGAAACUACCAAGCUGGAGUACGGUAGGGGCAGAGGGAAUUUCCAGUGGAGCGGUGAAAUGCGUAGAGAUCAAGAAGAAUACCCAUUGCGAAAGCGAUCUGCUGGAACUUAACUGACGCUAAUGCGUGAAAGCGUGGGGAGCAAACAGGAUUAGAUACCCGCGUAGUCCCUGUCUCUUAUAC
This 301-nucleotide ribosomal RNA is filed under the name uncultured bacterium. RNAcentral's name for it is "partial 16S ribosomal RNA". It matches the Rfam family "Bacterial small subunit ribosomal RNA", at positions 509 to 807 of the family's 1533-position model. The record is from RNAcentral.